GACGAACGCUGGCGGCGUGCUUAACACAUGCAAGUCGAACGGGAUUUAGUAAACGGAAGCCUCGGUGGAAGAUUACUAAUGAGAGUGGCGAACGGGUGAGUAACGCGUGAGCAACCUGCCUAUGACAGUGGGAUAGCCUCGGGAAACCGGGAUUAAUACCGCAUAAAAUCGUAGAAACACAUGUUUCAACGGUCAAAGAUUUAUCGGUCAUAGAUGGGCUCGCGUCUGAUUAGCUAGUUGGUGAGAUAACAGCCCACCAAGGCGACGAUCAGUAGCCGGUCUGAGAGGAUGAACGGCCACAUUGGAACUGAGACACGGUCCAAACUCCUACGGGAGGCAGCAGUGGUGAAUAUUGCACAAUGGGGGAAACCCUGAUGCAGCGACGCCGCGUGAACGAAGAAGGUAUUCGUAUCGUAAAGUUCUGUCCUAUGGGAAGAUAAUGACAGUACCAUAGAAGAAAGCUCCGGCUAAAUACGUG
Molecule: ribosomal RNA, 478 nt
Filed under: uncultured bacterium
Lineage: Bacteria
Description: partial 16S ribosomal RNA
Rfam family: Bacterial small subunit ribosomal RNA
Source: RNAcentral